Long non-coding RNA from Pecten maximus, 427 nucleotides. RefSeq lists it as uncharacterized. The transcript is spliced from 3 exons. The record is from RefSeq and is a predicted model, not a curated record. Lineage: Eukaryota; Metazoa; Mollusca; Bivalvia; Pectinida; Pectinidae.
UCUUUCAUCCAGGACAUGGCUCACUGAUUGGCUGGGCUAAACAAGGUGUCCUUUCGUUGAACACCUGUCUCACAGUGCAACAUGGCGAACCUUACUCUCAUCGAGACGAAGGCUGGGAGAUAUUCACAGACGCUGUUGUGUCCUAUCUCAACAACAACUACACGGGGCUGGUGUUUAUGUUGUGGGGAAUUGAAGCUCAAAAAAAGAGAGUCUUAAUAAACGAGAGCAAACACCGUGUCCUGCCGGCUUACCAUCCAGCAAGCUGGAAUCCUAAGUAUAGUUUCAUAGGAUACGAGCACUUCGCCAAGUGUAAUGCAGAAUUAAUCCUGAUGGGCAAAACCCCCAUUGACUGGAGUUAUCUGCCUGCUUACUAGUAUGAGGGAGCUACCUUCUCGCUUUUUGCUUUAAUAAAAACCAUGUAAUUGGU